CCUACGGGUGGCAGCAGUGGGGAAUAUUGGACAAUGGGCGAAAGCCUGAUCCAGCGACGCCGCGUGAAGGAAGAAGGGUUUCGGCGUGUAAACCUCUAUCAACAGGGACGAAAGAAAUGACGGUACCUGACUAAGAAGCCCCGGCUAACUACGUGCCAGCAGCCGCGGUAAUACGUAGGGGGCAAGCGUUAUCCGGAAUUACUGGGUGUAAAGGGUGAGUAGGCGGGAUAGUAAGCCAGAUGUGAAAGCCCUGGGCCUAACCCCGGGAGUGCAUUUGAAACUAUCGAGCUUGAGUGCAGGAGAGGAAAGCGGAAUUCCUAGUGUAGCGGUGAAAUGCGUAGAUAUUAGGAAGAACACCAGUGGCGAAGGCGGCUUUCUGGACUGAAACUGACGCUGAGGCACGAAAGCGUGGGGAGCGAACAGGAUUAGAUACCCUGGUAGUC
This 443-nucleotide ribosomal RNA is filed under the name uncultured bacterium. RNAcentral's name for it is "partial 16S ribosomal RNA". It matches the Rfam family "Bacterial small subunit ribosomal RNA", at positions 338 to 795 of the family's 1533-position model. The record is from RNAcentral.